UGGGGAAUUUUGGACAAUGGGCGAAAGCCUGAUCCAGCAAUGCCGCGUGUGUGAAGAAGGCCUUCGGGUUGUAAAGCACUUUUGUCCGGAAAGAAAUCCUUGGCUCUAAUACAGUCGGGGGAUGACGGUACCGGAAGAAUAAGCACCGGCUAACUACGUGCCAGCAGCCGCGGUAAUACGUAGGGUGCAAGCGUUAAUCGGAAUUACUGGGCGUAAAGCGUGCGCAGGCGGUUUGCUAAGACCGAUGUGAAAUCCCCGGGCUCAACCUGGGAACUGCAUUGGUGACUGGCAGGCUAGAGCAUGGCAGAGGGGGGUAGAAUUCCACGUGUAGCAGUGAAAUGCGUAGAGAUGUGGAGGAAUACCGAUGGCGAAGGCAGCCCCCUGGGCCAAUACUGACGCUCAUGCACGAAAGCGUGGGGAGCAAACAGGAUUAGAUACCCUGGUAGUCCACGCCCUAAACGAUGUCAACUAGUUGUUGGGGAUUCAUUUCCUUAGUAACGUAGCUAACGCGUGAAGUUGACCGCCUGGGGAGUACGGUCGCAAGAUUAAAACUCAAA
Molecule: ribosomal RNA, 557 nt
Filed under: uncultured bacterium
Lineage: Bacteria
Description: partial 16S ribosomal RNA
Rfam family: Bacterial small subunit ribosomal RNA
Source: RNAcentral